AAUGAACGCUGGCGGCAUGGCUAAAACAUGCAAGUCGAACGAACCCGCAAGGGUGAGUGGCGAAAGGGUCAGUAAUACGAUCGAAUGUACCCUGAGGUGGCGGAUAGCGGUGGGAAACUGCCGGUAAUACGUCAUGAUCUCUACGGAGCAAAGGUUUACCGCCUUGGGAGCAGCGAUCGUCCUAUCAGGUAGUUGGCGGGGUAAAGGCCCACCAAGCCGAAGACGGGUAGCGGGUGUGAGAGCACGACCCGCGACAUCGGAACUGAGACACUGUCCGGACUCUUACGGGAGGCUGCAGUAACGGAAUCUUCCGCAAUGGGCGAAAGCCUGACGGAGCAAUGCCGCGUGUAGGGAUGAAGCGUCUCUGACGUGUAAACUACUGUCAGGGGUCGGAACCAACGAUUGACCCCAAAGGAAGUGGCGACUAACUCUGUG
This 435-nucleotide ribosomal RNA is filed under the name uncultured bacterium. Its description in RNAcentral is "bacterial SSU rRNA". It matches the Rfam family "Bacterial small subunit ribosomal RNA", at positions 29 to 507 of the family's 1533-position model. The record is from RNAcentral.